Molecule: ribosomal RNA, 253 nt
Filed under: uncultured bacterium
Lineage: Bacteria
Description: partial 16S ribosomal RNA
Rfam family: Bacterial small subunit ribosomal RNA
Source: RNAcentral
UACAGAGGGUGCAAACGUUGUUCGGAAUUACUGGGCGUAAAGCGCGCGUAGGCGGUUCGUAAAGUCGGAUGUGAAAGCCCUGGGCUUAACCCAGGAAGUGCAUUCGAAACUCACGAACUUGAGUCCCGGAGAGGAAGGCGGAAUUCUCGGUGUAGAGGUGAAAUUCGUAGAUAUCGAGAGGAACAUCUGUGGCGAAGGCGGCCUUCUGGACGGUGACUGACGCUGAGACGCGAAAGCGUGGGGAGCAAACAGG